UUAUGUAAACAUAUAUAUAUAUAUAUAUCAUGCUAAACAUAGGUUUUUCGAAACCUAGCAUGCUGUGUAAUGUCUCAAAUCAUAACUUGUAUAUAUAAUAAUCACUAGGGAAUGUCCGAGAACCCCCAGGCCCCAUGCUGGCUCCUUGUUUCUGAGCAGACAGUCAAAGGAAAAUACACUUCAGGCCUCAUGCCGGCUCCCCGUCCCUGUGCUAAUAGCCAGAGGAAACACACUCCAGGCCCUAUGCCAACACCAAACUGUUGCUCGGGACUGAUCGGAAUCUAUCCCUACGUCCCGUAACGGAAAAUGACCACUAGGUAAGUACAAAACCACUGAACAUAUAUAUAUUGAAAAGCAACUUCAUAGUAUAAAGUCAUCCAUCAUCUAUACUAUAAAGAGAUGUUCUAAACAUGUUCUAAAUAUCAUAUCGUCAUCCAUAAGAUAUUCUAUAAGAACACGGGUUAUAGGAAAAAUAGUAAUAAUUCAAACUAGCCUCAAUAAGCAUGUUAUCUCAUAAAGCGUUCCAUAUAACAUAAUUGUUAAAUCAUGCUUUCAUGUAUGCAUUUCUACUAUCAAAACAUGCAUUUUUAGAAGGGGUUCACUCACAGUACUUAGCCACCAAAGAGCCACGCAACUAGAGAAGACGGAAACACCACAAAUAAUUGCCUCUAAGCACACAAAGAGUCCAAUUAGUAAAACUAUAUAAUAGCAAUUGAAUUUGGGAAAACAGACAUUGGAAACAGAUUCAGAACAUCGAAUUACCCUAACAAGGGUCCCAGAUAAAUUUCGUAAAAGUUAAUAGAAUAUUCCUAGAAUAUUCCCUGAGGGAAUAUUCCACAUAAAGGGUUUGGGUCGGCUUUUAUGGGUUGGGGUUUCACAGGCCUUUUUGCACGGCCCAAAUAGGCCUUAGCUCACUGGGUCUUUGGGCUUGAAAGCCUGGCCCGAAUUCAAACUAUGGGUCGCCGGACCCAAAGGAAGAAGAAGGUCAGAUUUCGGUUGGAAUUUUAGACAAACUUUAAACGUUCAUAACUUUGUCAAUACUCAACCAAAUCAAGUGAAACAAAAACAAAAGUUGUAGUUCUCGACCAGACGAAGACAAUGGUACCUUGUACGACAUCUAACUCACCGUGGCUUGACCGGAAAAUGCCUCGAAAUCCACGGAGGUCGCUCGAAACUGGGUAAGAUUUAAAUGGAUAUAACUUCUUCAAUACUCAACGAAAUCAGGUGAAACAAAAAGGAAAGUUGUAGUACUCAAUGAAACGAAGAGAUUGAUACCUUGCAUGCCUACCAACUCAUCGUGGUUUGGUCGAAAAAUGCCUCGAAAGAGGCUGUGUUUGCUAGAAAAUUUGGAAAAGCUUUCCCGAGCUAUUUUCUACGAUUUGAACGUAUACAUCACUUAACACAAGCUUCGAUAUAACCCUAAAAUACAACCUAAGGGUUUCUAGAAGCUUACCAACAUUGGAACAAUACGAAACUCGACAGAGAAGAUGAUGAACAGUAUCAGCCAAAAGGAAGAAAAGGGUUUGGGGUGUUCUUUCUUCAAUUUUUUUAGAACACAAGGGUGAUGGUGAUGAUGUUUUAUUGUGGUAGUGAUGUUUUAUGAUGAGGGUGUAUUGGUGUGUGUGUGUGUGUGUGUGUGUGUGUGUUCAUGGUGCCCUCAGGGCUGAGACAGAGAGAGGUAAGAAAGAGGUUAGGGAGAAUGAGAGAAAAGAAAGAGAGAGAUAGAGUUUACACGGGAAAAGGGGAGAAAGAGAGGAGAGAGACUGGGAGACAAAGCUCAUAGGGUGGGCCCCAUAUGGCUCACCAAUUAAGAUAAAAAAAACAAAUUUUAAUUGGGGGUGGGGUGUAACAAGCAGCCCGGACAUGGCAACCUAAACUGUUGCCCAUGCCACACCACUUCCUUAGCCCAUGCCUAGCCAAUCCUUGGGUUCAAUCAAGUCGAGCAGCACAAGUAAUGGCCCCUGCACACUAUCUCCUUAGUUCAUGCCAAACUGACUCCUGGCCCCUACCAGUCGACAACUGCUUCGUGGCAGCACCUCCUAAGAAGAAGACAAGGAGAAUUAAGUUUUUCUUACAUCGGUGUGGUGCGAAGAAGACAAAGAAAUCAAUGGAAGACGGUUUGCACAUGCAAGCAAAGAAGAGUGCUAGGGGAGGGGGAACAAAUAUCCUCUAUCUUUCUCUCUUUCUUGUAGGGAUAAAUAAUUGCCCUCCGAAGUUGAUUUAAUCCCCUACUUAAGGUAGGCUUAAAUAGGCUUUGUAGGCGAUUUAUUUCCCUUUU
This 2278-nucleotide long non-coding RNA is filed under the name Malus domestica (apple). RNAcentral describes it as "long non-coding RNA (MDOM_LNC006615)". Lineage: Eukaryota; Viridiplantae; Streptophyta; Magnoliopsida; Rosales; Rosaceae. The record is from RNAcentral.